GACGAACGCUGGCGGCGUGCUUAACACAUGCAAGUCGAACGGAAAGGCCCUGCUUUUGUGGGGUGCUCGAGUGGCGAACGGGUGAGUAACACGUGAGUAACCUGCCCUUGACUUUGGGAUAACUUCAGGAAACUGGGGCUAAUACCGGAUAGGAGCUCCUGCUGCAUGGUGGGGGUUGGAAAGUUUCGGCGGUUGGGGAUGGACUCGCGGCUUAUCAGCUUGUUGGUGGGGUAGUGGCUUACCAAGGCUUUGACGGGUAGCCGGCCUGAGAGGGUGACCGGCCACAUUGGGACUGAGAUACGGCCCAGACUCCUACGGGAGGCAGCAGUGGGGAAUAUUGCACAAUGGGCGGAAGCCUGAUGCAGCAACGCCGCGUGCGGGAUGACGGCCUUCGGGUUGUAAACCGCUUUCGCCUGUGACGAAGCGUGAGUGACGGUAAUGGGUAAAGAAGCACCGGCUAACUACGUGCCAGCAGCCGCGGUGAUACGUAGGGUGCGAGCGUUGUCCGGAUUUAUUGGGCGUAAAGGGCUCGUAGGUGGUUGAUCGCGUCGGAAGUGUAAUCUUGGGGCUUAACCCUGAGCGUGCUUUCGAUACGGGUUGACUUGAGGAAGGUAGGGGAGAAUGGAAUUCCUGGUGGAGCGGUGGAAUGCGCAGAUAUCAGGAGGAACACCAGUGGCGAAGGCGGUUCUCUGGGCCUUUCCUGACGCUGAGGAGCGAAAGCGUGGGGAGCGAACAGGCUUAGAUACCCUGGUAGUCCACGCUGUAAACGGUGGGUACUAGGUGUGGGGUCCAUUCCACGGGUUCCGUGCCGUAGCUAACGCUUUAAGUACCCCGCCUGGGGAGUACGGCCGCAAGGCUAAAACUCAAAGGAAUUGACGGGGCCCCGCACAAGCGGCGGAGCAUGCGGAUUAAUUCGAUGCAACGCGUAGAACCUUACCUGGGUUUGACAUGGAUCGGGAGUGCUCAGAGAUGGGUGUGCCUCUUUUGGGGUCGGUUCACAGGUGGUGCAUGGCUGUCGUCAGCUCGUGUCGUGAGAUGUUGGGUUAAGUCCCGCAACGAGCGCAACCCUUGUUCACUGUUGCCAGCACGUUAUGGUGGGGACUCAGUGGAGACCGCCGGGGUCAACUCGGAGGAAGGUGGGGAUGACGUCAAGUCAUCAUGCCCCUUAUGUCCAGGGCUUCACGCAUGCUACAAUGGCUGGUACAGAGAGUGGCGAGCCUGUGAGGGUGAGUGAAUCUCGGAAAGCCGGUCUCAGUUCGGAUUGGGGUCUGCAACUCGACCUCAUGAAGUCGGAGUCGCUAGUAAUCGCAGAUCAGCAACGCUACGGUGAAUACGUUCCCGGGUCU
This 1346-nucleotide ribosomal RNA is filed under the name uncultured bacterium. RNAcentral describes it as "partial 16S ribosomal RNA". It matches the Rfam family "Bacterial small subunit ribosomal RNA", at positions 28 to 1381 of the family's 1533-position model. The record is from RNAcentral.